CCUACGGGCGGCAGCAGUGGGGAAUAUUGGACAAUGGGGGCAACCCUGAUCCAGCCAUGCCGCGUGUGUGAAGAAGGCCCUCGGGUUGUAAAGCACUUUCAGUGAAGAAGAACGCCUGGUGGUUAAUACCCAUCAGGAAAGACAUCACUCACAGAAGAAGCACCGGCUAACUCCGUGCCAGCAGCCGCGGUAAUACGGAGGGUGCGAGCGUUAAUCGGAAUUACUGGGCGUAAAGCGCGCGUAGGUGGCUUGAUAAGCCGGUUGUGAAAGCCCGGGCUCAACCUGGGAACGGCAUCCGGAACUGUCAAGCUAGAGUGCAGGAGAGGAAGGUAGAAUUCCCGGUGUAGCGGUGAAAUGCGUAGAGAUCGGGAGGAAUACCAGUGGCGAAGGCGGCCUUCUGGACUGACACUGACACUGAGGUGCGAAAGCGUGGGUAGCAAACAGGAUUAGAUACCCUAGUAGUC
Molecule: ribosomal RNA, 464 nt
Filed under: Vreelandella stevensii
Lineage: Bacteria; Pseudomonadati; Pseudomonadota; Gammaproteobacteria; Oceanospirillales; Halomonadaceae
Description: partial 16S ribosomal RNA
Rfam family: Bacterial small subunit ribosomal RNA
Source: RNAcentral